Molecule: long non-coding RNA, 77 nt
Organism: Gavialis gangeticus (Gharial)
Lineage: Eukaryota; Metazoa; Chordata; Crocodylia; Gavialidae
Exons: 3
Source: RefSeq, a predicted model, not a curated record
UGCACAUUAAAGUGUCAUGUAAAAAAUGUGCAAUUACACUAAUGUGGAGUAAAAUAGUCUACUGCGCAUUAAGCAUC